UGGGGAAUAUUGGGGCAAUGGGGGAAACCCUGACCCAGCAACGCCGUGUGAGGGAAGAAGGUCUUCGGAUUGUAAACCUUUGUCCUAUGGGACGAAAGAAAUGACGGUACCAUAGGAGGAAGCUCCGGCUAACUACGUGCCAGCAGCCGCGGUAAUACGUAGGGAGCAAGCGUUGUCCGGAAUUACUGGGCGUAAAGGGUGCGUAGGUGGUCAAGUAAGUCAGGUGUGAAAGACCGGGGCUCAACCCCGGGGUUGCAUUUGAAACUGUUUGACUUGAGUACAGGAGAGGGAAGUGGAAUUCCUAGUGUAGCGGUGAAAUGCGUAGAUAUUAGGAGGAACACCAGUGGCGAAGGCGACUUUCUGGACUGUAACUGACACUGAGGCACGAAAGCGUGGGGAGCAAACAGGAUUAGAUACCC
RNAcentral lists this ribosomal RNA (419 nucleotides) under uncultured bacterium. RNAcentral describes it as "bacterial SSU rRNA". It matches the Rfam family "Bacterial small subunit ribosomal RNA", at positions 355 to 787 of the family's 1533-position model. The record is from RNAcentral.